Molecule: unclassified non-coding RNA, 352 nt
Filed under: soil metagenome
Description: partial contains 5.8S ribosomal RNA, internal transcribed spacer 2, and large subunit ribosomal RNA
Rfam family: 5.8S ribosomal RNA (bases 1-120)
Source: RNAcentral
GAUGAAGAACGCAGCGAAAUGCGAUAAGUAAUGUGAAUUGCAGAAUUCAGUGAAUCAUCGAAUCUUUGAACGCACAUUGCGCCCGCCAGUAUUCUGGCGGGCAUGCCUGUUCGAGCGUCAUUACAACCCUCAGGCCCCCGGGCCUGGCGUUGGGGAUCGGCGGAGCCCCCCGUGGGCACACGCCGUCCCCCAAAUGCAGUGGCGGUCCCGCCGCAGCUUCCAUCGCGUAGUAGCUAACACCUCGCGACUGGAGAGCGGCGCGGCCACGCCGCAAAACACCCAACUCUUCUGAAGUUGACCUCGAAUCAGGUAGGAAUACCCGCUGAACUUAAGCAUAUCAAUAAGCGGAGGA